Molecule: non-coding RNA, 77 nt
Organism: Podarcis lilfordi (Lilford's wall lizard)
Lineage: Eukaryota; Metazoa; Chordata; Lepidosauria; Squamata; Lacertidae
Source: the annotation of a GenBank genome assembly
GGCUGUAGCUCAUUGGCAGAGCAUCUGCUUUGCAUACAGAAGGUUCUGGGUUCAAUGCUCAUUUCCAGGUAGGGCUG